UGAGGAAUAUUGGUCAAUGGACGCAAGUCUGAACCAGCCAAGUAGCGUGCAGGAUGACGGCCCUAUGGGUUGUAAACUGCUUUUAUAUGGGGAUAAAGUGGGGAACGUGUUCCCUUUUGCAGGUACCAUAUGAAUAAGGACCGGCUAAUUCCGUGCCAGCAGCCGCGGUAAUACGAAGGGGGCUAGCGUUGUUCGGAUUUACUGGGCGUAAAGCGCACGUAGGCGGACUUUUAAGUCAGGGGUGAAAUCCCGGGGCUCAACCCCGGAACUGCCUUUGAUACUGGAAGUCUUGAGUAUGGUAGAGGUGAGUGGAAUUCCGAGUGUAGAGGUGAAAUUCGUAGAUAUUCGGAGGAACACCAGUGGCGAAGGCGGCUCACUGGACCAUUACUGACGCUGAGGUGCGAAAGCGUGGGGAGCAAACAGG
Molecule: ribosomal RNA, 424 nt
Filed under: Verrucomicrobiota bacterium
Lineage: Bacteria; Pseudomonadati; Verrucomicrobiota
Description: Verrucomicrobia bacterium partial 16S ribosomal RNA
Rfam family: Bacterial small subunit ribosomal RNA
Source: RNAcentral